GGGGAUUUAGCUCAGUGGUAGAGCGCUUGCCUACCAAUUGCAAGGUCCUGGGUUCAGUCCUCA
Molecule: transfer RNA, 63 nt
Filed under: Rattus norvegicus (Norway rat)
Lineage: Eukaryota; Metazoa; Chordata; Mammalia; Rodentia; Muridae
Rfam family: tRNA
About the family: Transfer RNA (tRNA) molecules are approximately 80 nucleotides in length. Their secondary structure includes four short double-helical elements and three loops (D, anti-codon, and T loops).
Source: Rfam by way of RNAcentral